GGGAAAGGUGAAAAGUACCCUGAAUAAGGGGGUGAAAUAGUACCUGAAACCUUGCGCUUACAAGCGGUCGGAGGUUCUUCGUGAACUGACGGCGUGCCUUUUGCAUAAUGAGCCUACGAGUUACUCUUCACUGGCAAGGUUAAAAAUUUUUGAUUUGGAGCCGGAGCGAAAGCGAGUCUUAACAGGGCGUUCAGUCAGUGGAGGUAGACGCGAAACCUAGUGAUCUACCCAUGGUCAGGGUGAAUUUAUGGUAAAACAUAAUGGAGGCCCGAACCAGUAUACGUUGAAAAGUAUUUGGAUGAACUGUGGGUAGGGGUGAAAGGCCAAUCAAACUAGGAGAUAGCUCGUACUCCCCGAAAUGCUUUUAGGAGCAGCGUGAAUUAAUAAUCUAACAGAGGUAGAGCUACCGAUUGGACUAGGGGGAGUCAAAUCCUACCAAAUCCAGACGAACUCCGAAUGCUGCUAGAUGUUUAUUUGCAGUGAGGGCAUGGGUGCUAAGGUCCAUGUCCAAGAGGGAAACAACCCGGAUCCUCAGCUAAGGUCCCUAAAUCUAUACUAAGUUGAUCUAAGGUAGUUCAAUUACUCAGACAGCCAGGAUGUUGGCUUGGAAGCAGCCAUUCAUUUAAAGAGUGCGUAACAGCUCACUGGUCGAGCGAUAGAGCAUCAAUGAUAAUCGGGCAUAAAGUAUAGUACCGAAGCUAGGAACUCUACGGAGUGGUAGGGGAGCAUUCUAUUUGCAUCGAAGAAAAAUCGUAAGGUUUUUUGGAGCGCAUAGAAUAGAAAAUGUAGGCAUAAGUAACGAUAAUGCAGGUGAGAAACCUGCACACCGAAAGACUAAGGUUUCCUGAACAACGCUAAUCGGUUCAGGGUUAGUCGGGACCUAAGGCAAACCCGAAUGGGGUAGUCGAUGGACAAUCAGUUAAUAUUCUGAUACUACCAUUAUCAGUGAUGGAGUGACGAAGUAGUGAAAGAUCCGCGUACUGACGGAAUAGUACGUUGAAGCGAGUAGGUAUAAGUUUUGUUGGCAAAUCCGCAAGACUUGCUGAACGUGAUAGUACCACAAACCUUCGGGCGAGUGGAUAGUGAUCCUAAUCAGACUUCCAAGAAAAACUUCUAAACUUAUGAUAUUGGUACCCGUACCGUAAACCGACACAGGUAGUCGAGGAGAGAAUCCUAAGGUGCUCGAGUGAUUCAUGGCCAAGGAACUAGGCAAAAUAGUCCUGUAACUUCGGGAGAAAGGACGCCUCCCUCUUCGGAGGAGGCCGCAGUGAAUAGGCCCAGGCGACUGUUUAUCAAAAACACAUGGCAUUGCAAAUUCGAAAGAAAAAGUAUAAUGCCUGACACCUGCCCGGUGCUGGAAGGUUAAGGAGAGAUGUUAGAAAUUUAUUUCAAAGCAUUGAACUGAAGCCCCAGUAAACGGCGGCCGUAACUAUAACGGUCCUAAGGUAGCGAAAUUCCUUGUCGGGUAAGUUCCGACCUGCACGAAUGGUGCAACGAUCUGGAUACUGUCUCGGCCACGAGCUCGGUGAAAUUGUAGUUCCGGUGAAGAUGCCGGAUACCCGCAACGGGACGGAAAGACCCCGUGAACCUUUACUAUAGCUUCACAUUGGCAUUGGGUAAAUAAUGUGUAGGAUAGGAGGGAGACUUUGAAGCAGUGUCGCUAGGCAUUGUGGAGUCGUUGGUGAAAUACCUCCCUUUAUUUAUCUGAUGCCUAACCCUUCACAGGGGACAUUGUGUGGUGGGUAGUUUGACUGGGGUGGUCGCCUCCAAAAGAGUAACGGAGGCUUUCAAAGGUACCCUCAGCAUGUUUGGUAAUCAUGCGUGGAGCGCAAUAGCAUAAGGGUGCUUGACUGUGAGGCCUACAAGCCGAGCAGGGUCGAAAGACGGAUAUAGUGAUCCGGUGGUUCUGCAUGGAAGGGCCAUCGCUCAAAGGAUAAAAGGUACUCCGGGGAUAACAGG
Molecule: ribosomal RNA, 1959 nt
Filed under: marine metagenome
Description: bacterial LSU rRNA
Rfam family: Bacterial large subunit ribosomal RNA
Source: RNAcentral